RNAcentral lists this long non-coding RNA (1324 nucleotides) under Marmota monax (woodchuck). Lineage: Eukaryota; Metazoa; Chordata; Mammalia; Rodentia; Sciuridae. The record is from RNAcentral.
UUUAGUUUGGUAUAUGUACUAUUGAAAUCUGUGCUUAUUGACAUGUCUGAAUGUGCAUAAAACAUACUCUUGGUGUUAUUUUACACGAUGGGAUUAUCCUGUAUAUUUUUUAUAUAACAUGGACAUUUUCCUAAAUUUUUAAUUAUUUAAUAUUCAAAUGGUUGCUUUGAUUAUUCUGAGAGGGUAGAUAAAAUUUAAAAAAAAAUUUUUUUUUUUUGAGUUGCUGUCUCACACAUGUUGCCCAGGCUGACCUCGAACUUCUAAGCUCAAACGAACCUCCUGCCUCAGCCUCCUGAUCUAUAAUUAUAAUUAUGUGCCACCAUGCCUGGCUGGUAAUUGGGGUUUUGAGGAGAGAACAUCAGGUCUUGUAUUACUGCUAAGAGGUUUUUUUUUUUAAAUGAUAGUUUUCCCACUGCCACAGGCUCGAGAGAGAAUCAAAUAGUAAUAUGUGAAGGGUGCUUGGCAAGCAGGUUCAGGAACAGAAAACUGCACUCUUAAUUUUGCUUGUGUUAAGGUUCCAUCUGUUGACUUCAUUUGGCCCUCUGUACUUCCUGACGCUUGUUCAUAACUUACUUUCCCCCCACUUUGUCAUUUAGGCUGUUAAAGAUUUUUGUUUUAUGACAGAGACAUCAUAAAAAUGUGUAACCUAGAGUAGAGGAAUACUCAAAUUGCAAUUCUAGGAAAGGAAAAUGGACCUUAGUUAACUCAGGUUUAGUUCCCAGCACAACCACUUCUAAGCUUUGGGAACUUGAAAAAAGGCCAAUGUAACAGGUGAGCCUCAGCUGCUUUGUCUAUAAAAUUGGGAAUAAUACCUGUCUUGUGGAUCUCAGGAGAAUGUAAUGAAAAUGUAUCAAAACUGAUGUUACUGGGCUGGGGAUGUGGCUGAAAUGGUAGCGUGCUUGCCUAGCAUGUGUGAGGAACUGGGUUCGAUUCUCAGCACCACAUAAAAAUAAAGAUUGUGUCCACCUAAAAACUGAAAAAUAAAUAUUUUUUUUAAAAACUAAUGUUUCUUUAAAUCCUUUGUGUGGGGAUGAUAUUUGUUAAAAAAUGCAUCUGUCUUCCAAAUUAUACCUAUUUUUAACUUCGUACCUCCUGCUUUCUAAAGAGAAUAAAUAAGAUGAAGUUUGGAUGAUAGCGGCCAUUGCUGUUUUGUCUAUGGAAGAAAGCAUUUAUCAGUAUUUUCCUCAACUGGAUUAAGCUUCUUGGGAAGAAGAAUUAUACUGUAUAUGUAGUUUUAUGAAGUGUCUUUAUACAUAGUAAAUGCAUGAAGUUUUUAAAAAUGUGCUAGAAUAGUCAACUUCAUCCUCUCUACCUGCCUGCCUGC